This 433-nucleotide ribosomal RNA is filed under the name uncultured bacterium. RNAcentral's name for it is "partial 16S ribosomal RNA". It matches the Rfam family "Bacterial small subunit ribosomal RNA", at positions 29 to 507 of the family's 1533-position model. The record is from RNAcentral.
AACGAACGCUGGCGGCAGGCCUAACACAUGCAAGUCGAGCGAGGACUUCGGUCCUAGCGGCGGACGGGUGAGUAACGCGUGGGAACGUGCCCUUUGCUUCGGAAUAGCCCUGGGAAACUGGGAGUAAUACCGGAUGAGCCCUUUGGGGGAAAGAUUUAUCGGCGAAGGAUCGGCCCGCGUUGGAUUAGGUAGUUGGUGGGGUAAUGGCCUACCAAGCCGACGAUCCAUAGCUGGUUUGAGAGGAUGAUCAGCCACACUGGGACUGAGACACGGCCCAGACUCCUACGGGAGGCAGCAGUGGGGAAUCUUAGACAAUGGGGGAAACCCUGAUCUAGCCAUGCCGCGUGAGCGAUGAAGGCCUUAGGGUUGUAAAGCUCUUUCAGCUGGGAAGAUAAUGACGGUACCAGCGGAAGAAGCCCCGGCUAACUACGUG